CCGUGCUAGAUGGGGAGUUAGCGGUGCCCUGUAACCUGCAAUCCGCUAUAGCAGGAUUGAAUUCCUCGCUUAGGCUAUAACUUGUGAGGUCUGACCUAUGCAAGUGACGUUGAGAGCUGGGUCCCACGCAACGGAAACUCAUGAACCCCGUGAGGUCUGGAAGGAAGCAGCGGUAAGUGAUAAUUUCCGUGUGCCGUGGAUUAACCUGGCUUGAGUUAACUGUAUAGGUAACGCUCAUAGGUUAUUUGCCAAGGCGAGGUGCACGG
This is a non-coding RNA of Clostridium sp. HMP27, 266 nucleotides long. It matches the Rfam family "Bacterial large signal recognition particle RNA". From Rfam's summary of the family: The signal recognition particle (SRP) is a universally conserved ribonucleoprotein involved in the co-translational targeting of proteins to membranes. Archaeal SRP consists of a 7S RNA and homologues of the eukaryotic SRP19 and SRP54 proteins. The record is from Rfam. NCBI's taxonomy places the organism in Bacteria, Bacillati, Bacillota, Clostridia, Eubacteriales, Clostridiaceae.